CGUAAGCGUGCGCAGGCGGUUAUAUAAGACAGAUGUGAAAUCCCCGGGCUCAACCUGGGAACUGCAUUGUGACUGUAUAGCUGGAGUGCGGCAGAGGGGGAUGGAAUUCCGCGUGUAGCAGUGAAAUGCGUAGAUAUGCGGAGGACACCGAUGGCGAAGGCAAUCCCCUGGGCCUGCACUGACGCUCAUGCACGAAAGCGUGGGGAGCAAACAGGAUUAGAUACCCCUGU
Molecule: ribosomal RNA, 230 nt
Filed under: uncultured bacterium
Lineage: Bacteria
Description: partial 16S ribosomal RNA
Rfam family: Bacterial small subunit ribosomal RNA
Source: RNAcentral